GGCUUAGAGUUUGAUCAUGGCUCAGGAUAAACGCUGGCGGCGCACAUAAGACAUGCAAGUCGAACGGAAGUCGUUAUAAACGAAUUGAAGAUUUAUCUGAUUGAAGUUUAUAACAAUGGCUUUAGUGGCGGACUGGUGAGUAACGCGUAAGCAAUCUGCCUAUUAGAGGGGAAUAACAAUGAGAAAUCAUUGCUAAUACCGCAUAUGCCAUAGUUAUCGCAUGAUAAUAGUGGGAAAGGAGUAAUCCGCUAAUAGAUGAGCUUGCGUCUGAUUAGUUAGUUGGUGGGGUAACGGCCUACCAAGACAACGAUCAGUAGCCGGACUGAGAGGUUGAACGGCCACAUUGGGACUGAGAUACGGCCCAGACUCCUACGGGAGGCAGCAGUCGGGAAUAUUGCGCAAUGGAGGAAACUCUGACGCAGUGACGCCGCGUAUAGGAAGAAGGUUUUCGGAUUGUAAACUAUUGUCGUUAGGGAAGAGAAAGGACAGUACCUAAGGAGGAAGCUCCGGCUAACUACGUGCCAGCAGCCGCGGUAAUACGUAGGGAGCAAGCGUUAUCCGGAUUUAUUGGGUGUAAAGGGUGCGUAGACGGGUAAUUAAGUUAGUUGUGAAAUCCCUCGGCUCAACUGAGGAACUGCAACUAAAACUGGUUAUCUUGAGUGCAGGAGAGGUAAGUG
RNAcentral lists this ribosomal RNA (677 nucleotides) under uncultured bacterium. Its description in RNAcentral is "bacterial SSU rRNA". It matches the Rfam family "Bacterial small subunit ribosomal RNA", at positions 1 to 663 of the family's 1533-position model. RNAcentral also lists the same sequence under 1 other name. The record is from RNAcentral.